RNAcentral lists this ribosomal RNA (507 nucleotides) under uncultured microorganism. Its description in RNAcentral is "bacterial SSU rRNA". It matches the Rfam family "Bacterial small subunit ribosomal RNA", at positions 9 to 514 of the family's 1533-position model. The record is from RNAcentral.
GAGUUUGAUCUUGGCUCAGGAUGAACGCUGGCGGCGUGCUUAACACAUGCAAGUCGAACGAAGCGCCUUAUUUGAUUUUCUUCGGAACUGAAGAUUUGGUGACUGAGUGGCGGACGGGUGAGUAACGCGUGGGUAACCUGCCCUGUACAGGGGGAUAACAAUCAGAAAUGACUGCUAAUACCGCAUAAGACCACAGCACCGCAUGGUGCAGGGGUAAAAACUCCGGUGGUACAGGAUGGACCCGCGUCUGAUUAGCUGGUUGGUGAGGUAACGGCUCACCAAGGCGACGAUCAGUAGCCGGCUUGAGAGAGUGAACGGCCACAUUGGGACUGAGACACGGCCCAAACUCCUACGGGAGGCAGCAGUGGGGAAUAUUGCACAAUGGGGGAAACCCUGAUGCAGCAACGCCGCGUGAGUGAAGAAGUAUUUCGGUAUGUAAGGCUCUAUCAGCAGGGAAGAAAGUGACGGUACCUGACUAAGAAGCCCCGGCUAACUACGUGCCAGCCG